AUACGAAGGUCCCAAGCGUUAUUCGGAAUCACGGGGCGUAAAGAGUAUGUAGGCGGUUUGGUAAGUCAGGUGUGAAAUCCCGAAGCUCAACUUCGGAACUGCAUCCGAUACUGCUAGACUUGAGUAAUGGAGAGGCAGGUGGAAUUCUCGGUGUAGCAGUGAAAUGCGUGGAUAUCGAGAGGAAGACCAAUGGCGAAGGCAGCCUGCUGGACAUUUACUGACGCUGAGAUACGAAGGCUAGGGUAGCGAAAGGGAUUAGAAACCCGAGUAGUCC
RNAcentral lists this ribosomal RNA (274 nucleotides) under uncultured bacterium. RNAcentral's name for it is "partial 16S ribosomal RNA". It matches the Rfam family "Bacterial small subunit ribosomal RNA", at positions 523 to 796 of the family's 1533-position model. The record is from RNAcentral.